This 51-nucleotide transfer RNA is filed under the name Southwellina hispida. RNAcentral describes it as "tRNA-His". The record is from RNAcentral. Lineage: Eukaryota; Metazoa; Acanthocephala; Palaeacanthocephala; Polymorphida; Polymorphidae.
GCAAACGGAGUAUGGGGUAUGUCUUAUUGUGGUUAAGGAGGAGAGUUUGUG